This 465-nucleotide ribosomal RNA is filed under the name uncultured bacterium. Its description in RNAcentral is "partial 16S ribosomal RNA". It matches the Rfam family "Bacterial small subunit ribosomal RNA", at positions 338 to 795 of the family's 1533-position model. The record is from RNAcentral.
CCUACGGGAGGCAGCAGUGGGGAAUAUUGCGCAAUGGGCGAAAGCCUGACGCAGCGACGCCGCGUGAGGGAUGAAGGUCUUCGGAUCGUAAACCUCUGUCAGCAGGGAAGAACGGUCACUGUGCUAAUCAGCAGUGAAUUGACGGUACCUGCAAAGGAAGCACCGGCUAACUCCGGGCCAGCAGGCGCGGUAAUACGGAGGGUGGGAUCGUUAACCGGAAUUACUGGGCGUAAAGCGCUCGUAGGCGGUAUGUCAAGUCAAGGGGGAAAUCCCCGCGCUCAACGUGGGAACUGCCUUUGAAACUGGCAAACUGGAGUGUGUGAGAGGAUAGUGGAAUUCCAGGUGUAGGAGUGAAAUCCGUAGAUAUCUGGCGGAACAUCAGUGGCGAAGGCGACUAUCUGGCACAUAACUGACGCUGAGGAGCGAAAGCGUGGGUAGCAAACAGGAUUAGAUACCCUAGUAGUC